GAUGAAGAACGCAGCGAAAUGCGAUAAGUAAUGUGAAUUGCAGAAUUCAGUGAAUCAUCGAAUCUUUGAACGCACAUUGCGCCCGCCAGUAUUCUGGCGGGCAUGCCUGUUCGAGCGUCAUUUCAACCAUCAAGCCCCAGGCUUGUGUUGGGGACCUGCGGCUGCCGCAGGCCCUGAAAACCAGUGGCGGGCUCGCUGUCACACCGAGUGCAGUAGAUUACUCUUCGCUCAGGGCGUGUGGCGGGUUCCAGCCGUGAAACCCCCUACUUCUCAAGGUUGACCUCGGAUCAGGUAGGAAUACCCGCUGAACUUAAGCAUAUCAAUAAGCGGAGGA
RNAcentral lists this unclassified non-coding RNA (334 nucleotides) under soil metagenome. Its description in RNAcentral is "partial contains 5.8S ribosomal RNA, internal transcribed spacer 2, and large subunit ribosomal RNA". The stretch from base 1 to 120 matches the Rfam family "5.8S ribosomal RNA", at positions 35 to 154 of the family's 154-position model. The record is from RNAcentral.